CAUAAAUCUAGAACGUGCCCAAUCGGCCCGAAGUGCAUGUAACGAGCGGCAUUUGACUCCGUCCCGUUGCGUCUACUCGAGUAGUACGCCUACGUUUCCUCCUAGCCUCCUAUUCCUCCGCUUUCCUUACGGCAAGCUCCUCAGCAUGCUCUUCCUGAUAUAAUGGGUCAAAGAGUUGACCCUCAGGGUACCUCUGCUUCUUCUUACUCCCCCGAGUAGCUUUGUCAAGCGCCUGGGCAGCCUUGACUCUCGCCAACUCAUCCUCCAGAAGCGCGUUCCUCGCCAUCAGCUGCUCACUGGCCUUUUCAAGCUUAAGCAUGGCUGAGAACGGGUCAACUUUCCCCUGUCGGACCGCGCGAUUGUUCGCACGAAGGAUGCGGAGGUUGCGAGGGGUAAGGAGGUCCUCAGUGGUAGCUUGGGGGGAAGGAGUGGCCGGCGCUUGCUCCUCAACUUUCAUGAUGGCAGGAUCAAGAGGAAACAGGCCCGAUUUCCUCCAAGCUCCUCGAAUUUGACGUGAGGUCGCCGUCUCCCGCCACGCCCUCUGGUGCCAGCCCCAAAAUAUCCCCAUGACCACCCCUCUAAGGGAGUUACCGAGCUGGUAUUCAUCCAGUUGUCGAUGGUACGCUGCCUUGAGGGCAUUGAAGAAGUCGACGUCGAGAGGUUGGAACCUGCCGCCCAUCUUCACAGGAAGAAGUAUCACGACAAUGUUCCUAGCCCAACAUGCUUCAAGGAAAUCCACUUUGGUGUGCGAUUCGGCACCAUCGAAGAUGAGUAGUCGUCGUUCACAACCUCCACUAGCAAUAUCGUGAGUAUAGGGGUCAAAGGCGUCUUCAAGCCAUUUCAACAUCACAUAGCUGUUGAUCCAGCCUGAAUCGGUGUUGAUAGCGAGCUGGCGCACCACCCCGUCACCCUUCUCCCGCACCUUGAACCAACUUUCUUGCAGUUGUGCGCCUUGAUAGAUGAUGAGAGGAGGAACUGGUGCAGAAUCGAUGCCGAUGCAAGCCACAGAUGUGAUGUGUUCAUUUGACGGUGGUACAGCUUGGCCAUUCUUUGGAUGGGUACGAGGCGCAACUUUGCGCACCCUUCUAGAGCCGAGAGCUCGAAAGCAACUUCGUCCAUGUUGAAGAUAAGGCGGGGGGCGUAGAGACCAGUAUCGUACACAUCUUUGACCUGUGAAAAGCAUUCAAAUAGUCUCGGCAAAUACUGCGAGAUACAUACAAGGUGGUAGAAAGCUCUGCGUGUCUCAGGAAUGUCUGCUUGUAGACGUCCGAGCUCUUGAUAAGAGAAAAAACGCGAAUGUAUGGUAUCGCAAUGUCGCUGGAUGAACCGUGAGCCCCAAUUGACGCCUAAUUUUCCAUCAUAGACCGCUUCUGCAAGUUCAACGACGUGUCUUGGCGUCAAGAAGGUGUCUCGCCUAGCAUAUUCGUUGAUUUUUUUGACCAAUUCCUCUUCCUGUACGAUAGAGAGGUGUCGAGGGGCCGAGGCCGUAUGGGACGAGUGUACGCCGGUGUGACGGUCGUAGAGGGAUGAUUUUGAGACCUCGUAUAAAUCUGCGGCUUUCUGAUAGCUUUCAAGGGGGUUGUUUAUCUUGUGCUCAAGUGUGAGGGUCAUAGAAUCAGCUGUUGUGGAGAUAUAGAUGUA
This 1641-nucleotide small RNA is filed under the name Cryptococcus neoformans H99. Its description in RNAcentral is "Cryptococcus neoformans var. grubii H99 hypothetical RNA". The record is from RNAcentral. Lineage: Eukaryota; Fungi; Basidiomycota; Tremellomycetes; Tremellales; Cryptococcaceae.